CGUGUCCUGCUAGGUGUCGUGUCCUGCUUGGUGUCGUGUCCUGCUUGGUGCCGUGUCCUGCUAGGUGUCGUGUCCUGCUUGGUCCUGCCGUGUCCUGCUAGGUGUCGUGUCCUGCUAGGUGUCGUGUCCUGCUAGGUGUCGUGUCCUGCUAGGUGUCGUGUCCUGCUUGGUGUCGUGUCCUGCUUGGUGUCGUGUCCUGCUAGGUGUCGUGUCCUGCUUGGUGUCGUGUCCUGCUAGGUGUCGUGUCCUGCUAGGCGUCGUGUCCUGCUAGGCGUCGUGUCCUGCUAGGUGUCGUGUCCUGCUAGGCGUCGUGUCCUGCUAGGUGUCGUGUCCUGCUAGGCGUCGUGUCCUGCUAGGUGUCCUGCUAGGUGUCGUGUCCUGCUAGGUGUCGUGUCCUGCUAGGCGUCGUUUCCUGCUAGGCGUCGUGUCCUGCUUGUGUCCUGCUUGGCGUCGUUUCCUGCUAGGUGUCGUGUCCUGCUAGGUGUCGUGUCCUGCUAGGUGUCGUGUCCUGCUUGGUGUCGUGUCCUGCUAGGUGUCGUGUCCUGCUAGGUGUCGUGUCCUGCUAGGUGUCGUGUCCUGCUAGGUGUCGUGUCCUGCUUGGUGUCGUGUCCUGCUAGGCGUCGUGUCCUGCUAGGUGUCGUGUCCUGCUAGGUGUCGUGUCCUGCUAGGUGUCGUGUCCUGCUAGGUGUCGUGUCCUGCUAGGUGUCGUGUCCUGCUAGGUGUCGUGUCCUGCUAGGUGUCGUGUCCUGCUAGGUGUCGUGUCCUGCUAGGUGUCGUGUCCUGCUUGUGUCCUGCUAGGUGUCGUGUCCUGCUAGGUGUCGUGUCCUGCUAGGUGUCGUGUCCUGCUAGGUGUCGUGUCCUGCUAGGCGUCGUGUCCUGCUAGGUGUCGUGUCCUGCUAGGUGUCGUGUCCUG
Molecule: long non-coding RNA, 913 nt
Organism: Oncorhynchus tshawytscha (Chinook salmon)
Lineage: Eukaryota; Metazoa; Chordata; Actinopteri; Salmoniformes; Salmonidae
Source: Ensembl